AUUGAACGCUGGCGGCAGGCCUAACACAUGCAAGUCGAAUGGUAACAGGAAACAGCUUGCUGUUUCGCUGACGAGUGGCGGACGGGUGAGUCAUGUCUGGGAAACUGCCUGAUGGAGGGGGAUAACUACUGGAAACGGUAGCUAAUACCGCAUAACGUCGCAAGACCAAAGAGGGGGACCUUCGGGCCUCUUGCCAUCAGAUGUGCCCAGAUGGUAUUAGCUAGUAGGUGGGGUAACGGCUCACCUAGGCGACGAUCCCUAGCUGGUCUGAGAGGAUGACCAGCCACACUGGAACUGAGACACGGUCCAGACUCCUACGGGAGGCAGCAGUGGGGAAUAUUGCACAAUGGGCGCAAGCCUGAUGCAGCCAUGCCGCGUGUAUGAAGAAGGCCUUCGGGUUGUAAAGUACUUUCAGCGGGGAGGAAGGGAGUAAAGUUAAUACCUUUGCUCAUUGACGUUACCCGCAGAAGAAGCACCGGCUAACUCCGUG
RNAcentral lists this ribosomal RNA (490 nucleotides) under uncultured bacterium. RNAcentral's name for it is "partial 16S ribosomal RNA". It matches the Rfam family "Bacterial small subunit ribosomal RNA", at positions 30 to 507 of the family's 1533-position model. The record is from RNAcentral.